CCUACGGGUGGCAGCAGUGGGGAAUAUUGCGCAAUGGGCGAAAGCCUGACGCAGCGACGCCGCGUGAGGGAUGAAGGUCUUCGGAUCGUAACCCUCUGUCAGCAGGGAAGAACGGUCACUGUGCUAAUCAGCAGUGAAUUGACGGUCCCUGCACAGGAAGCACCGGCUAACUCCGUGCCAGCAGCCGCGGUAAUACGGAGGGUGCGAGCGUUAAUCGGAAUUACUGGGCGUAAAGCGCUCGUAGGCGGUAUGUCAAGUCAAGGGUGAAAUCCCCGCGCUCAACGUGGGAACUGCCUUUGAUACUGGCAAACUGGAGUGUGUGAGAGGAUAGUGGAAUUCCAGGUGUAGGAGUGAAAUGCGUAGAUAUCUGGAGGAACAUCAGUGGCGAAGGCGACUAUCUGGCACAUAACUGACGCUGAGGAGCGAAAGCGUGGGUAGCAAACAGGAUUAGAUACCCGUGUAGUC
This 465-nucleotide ribosomal RNA is filed under the name uncultured bacterium. RNAcentral's name for it is "partial 16S ribosomal RNA". It matches the Rfam family "Bacterial small subunit ribosomal RNA", at positions 338 to 795 of the family's 1533-position model. The record is from RNAcentral.